Oxyura jamaicensis (ruddy duck) is the source of this 979-nucleotide long non-coding RNA. RefSeq lists it as uncharacterized. The record is from RefSeq and is a predicted model, not a curated record. The transcript has 3 exons. NCBI's taxonomy places the organism in Eukaryota, Metazoa, Chordata, Aves, Anseriformes, Anatidae.
UCUCCUUAGCAAAGUGCUAAUAAACACUGACAGAAGUAAACAGGGAACCUCUCCUCUGCAACCAGCUAGGUAACAUUUGCUACACUGAUUCUGUCUGCUUCAACUAUAUCUGAGGGACACAAAGCUGCUGGGUACUAAGAAAUCAAACUCAGUUUGUUUUCAUCUGUGCAACCAUGAGAAGAGUUUAGCUUCUCAUUCUGAAACCAAUUUGUGAGUUACAGGGGUUUUAUUGAUCUUUUGUAUUGUCUUCUCCCAUCAUCCUUUCCUGCCAAAGCAAAUGGUAUCUCCCUGAAGAGCAGCAUUUCAGCUAAUGGAGAGACACUGGAAGAAGGAAGAAUGAAGAAUGGAAAAAAUGGAAGAAGGAGGAAAGGAAGAAGCUGGCAGUGCUCCCACCCCAGUGUAGCUGGCAAAAAGUGAAGCUAAACCAUCCCCAGCUCCUCUGCUUGUUAAACAUGGGGGAAGAAGGGGAUGCAUCUGCUCCCAGGGUUUUGCAGAAGAUGUUGGGAAGCAUCCCUUCUCCAAGAUCCUUUCUGACAGUGCCACUUCCCAGCUCACACUCCUCAGUUCAUCUCUGGCACACAAGUCUCAGCUCAGCUUGAGGUGGGAACAGUUUGCCCUGUUGAGCAGGGAUAUAAAUGGGGGCUUAGCCAUUCAGGAACUGGAAGCCAGCUCUCUGGAUUUGCUCCUGAUGUUUGCCAAAUGCUUUCUAUUCACUGGAAGAUGAUGAAAAACAUUUCUGUGAGUUUGCAGCUGUCUAGUUCCUAGCAAGCCGUUAAUACAAGGGAUGAAGGGGAAACCCAAACCCCCAAACCAAAAUUCUGGACAACUUACAAACCUCCUCUAUAGCUUAAAUAGGGGCUUGGUCUAAUACUCCUAAUUGGCUGGAGCAGCCCUUACGAUUUCCCAGACGGUUACUUAAGUACAUGUAACCACUGCAACUGCUAUGCCUGUUAUUGUGCUGCUUUCCAGUCCUGCUGGC